RNAcentral lists this ribosomal RNA (336 nucleotides) under uncultured bacterium. Its description in RNAcentral is "bacterial SSU rRNA". It matches the Rfam family "Bacterial small subunit ribosomal RNA", at positions 18 to 344 of the family's 1533-position model. The record is from RNAcentral.
CCUGGCUCAGGAUGAACGCUGGCGGCGUGCCUAAUACAUGCAAGUAGAACGCUGAAGCUUGGUGCUUGCACCGAGCGGAAGAGUUGCGAACGGGUGAGUAACGCGUAGGUAACCUGCCUCUUAGCGGGGGAUAACUAUUGGAAACGAUAGCUAAUACCGCAUAAAAGUCGGCAUUGCAUGAUGUUGACUUGAAAGGUGCAACUGCAUCACUACCAGAUGGACCUGCGUUGUAUUAGCUAGUUGGUGAGGUAACGGCUCACCAAGGCAACGAUACAUAGCCGACCUGAGAGGGUGAUCGGCCACACUGGGACUGAGACACGGCCCAGACUCCUACGG